AUACAUAUGUUUAGGAAGAGACUGGAUUUCACUUGUCAACUUACCCCACCACCACGAGUCAUUUAAUGUUGGUAAAGCCAGCCACGAUUUUUCGUAUCUAUAACACCCCUUCUUCCAUUGAAUUCUACCUACAAAUAACUGAAGGCUCACAUUAUUUUGGAAUAUGGACCUCCGCCUCUUGUGGAGACGAGAUUUCUCUUAAGCUGAUUUCCCAAAAAGGGGCUGCAAUGUGUGUUCCCGAUUCUAGAUUCAUUGAGCUCACCCUAGAUGAGUCCUUUGGUUCGGUGGUUCGGAAAAGUCUCUUUGUUCCUUCUCCAAACUCAAUGCUCCAGGAUCUCUUGUGCUUGUGCCAGUGUCUCAUGUAGAAUGUUGCCUGAUCUCUGCUCAAGAAUCUGAGUCACAAGGUUGAUGCCUUCACAGAUGACAGAACAGAAGUUCCCUGAGUACCCGAGUCUGUCUUUGCUGUUUCUAAGGUAGUGAUUAUUAAAAUGUCAAGGGAAAUUAAA
Molecule: long non-coding RNA, 506 nt
Filed under: Pan troglodytes (chimpanzee)
Lineage: Eukaryota; Metazoa; Chordata; Mammalia; Primates; Hominidae
Description: lincRNA
Source: RNAcentral